AGUCGAGGAUGAUUAUGUAAGAGUAGUGGACAGAAGUGAUUUCUGAUUAAACUUACGCUGAGACU
Small nucleolar RNA from Gadus morhua (Atlantic cod), 65 nucleotides. Ensembl annotates it as small nucleolar RNA SNORD75. NCBI's taxonomy places the organism in Eukaryota, Metazoa, Chordata, Actinopteri, Gadiformes, Gadidae. The record is from Ensembl.